GGAUAUUAAGCAAAAAUUGUAGGAAGAUCCGGAGACCAGUAAGAUCAUAAAAAUAAAAAAAAUAAAAAAAAUGGUGGAGGCACCAAGCUCCGUGGCUCAUUACAAUUGGGACUCAAAAGAAUUACACUAUAAGGGCACUAUAUUGAAAAGGAGUAUAACGUAUUACCCGCAAACCAAUAGCUAAACAGAAGUGGUAAACAAGUGCUUGGAGAUAGCCC
Molecule: long non-coding RNA, 218 nt
Filed under: Musa acuminata (dwarf banana)
Lineage: Eukaryota; Viridiplantae; Streptophyta; Magnoliopsida; Zingiberales; Musaceae
Description: long non-coding RNA (MACU_LNC007317)
Source: RNAcentral